CAGGGUUCACAAAAGCAUACACAUCAAACAUAAGAGAGUGAGAUUACCUGUCACCAUCAUGUCCGAUGUGUUAGCUUCUUGCUGCGUCAUGGAGAAGAUCCGAGCUGGAACUGAUGGACCUUCACCUAGGGAACCUACUGAAGAAGGGGCCGUCCCCCUUCCUCUGCCUCGACCACUACCCUGAAACAUGGCUGGAGCUGA
RNAcentral lists this long non-coding RNA (201 nucleotides) under Manihot esculenta (cassava). RNAcentral's name for it is "long non-coding RNA (MESC_LNC002941)". Lineage: Eukaryota; Viridiplantae; Streptophyta; Magnoliopsida; Malpighiales; Euphorbiaceae. The record is from RNAcentral.